This 440-nucleotide ribosomal RNA is filed under the name uncultured bacterium. RNAcentral's name for it is "partial 16S ribosomal RNA". It matches the Rfam family "Bacterial small subunit ribosomal RNA", at positions 338 to 795 of the family's 1533-position model. The record is from RNAcentral.
CCUACGGGGAGCUGCAGUGGGGGAUAUUGCACAAUGGGGGAAACCCUGAUGCAGCGACGCCGCGUGGGUGAAGAAGCGCCUCGGCGCGUAAAGCCCUGUCAGCAGGGAAGAAAAUGACGGUACCUGAAGAAGAAGCCCCGGCUAACUACGUGCCAGCAGCCGCGGUAAUACGUAGGGGGCAAGCGUUAUCCGGAUUUACUGGGUGUAAAGGGGGCGCAGACGGCGAUGCAAGCCAGGAGUGAAAGCCCGGGGCCCAACCCCGGGACUGCUCUUGGAACUGCGUGGCUAGAGUGCAGGAGGGGCAGGCGGAAUUCCGGGUGUAGCGGUGAAAUGCGUAGAUAGCAGGAGGAACACCGGUGGCGAAGGCGGCCUGCUGGACUGCAACUGACGUUGAGGCCCGAAAGCGUGGGGAGCAAACAGGAUUAGAUACCCUGGUAGUC